CGAAGUAGCAAUACUUAGUGGCAGACGGGUGAGUAACAUGUAGGUAUCUACCCUUUGGCCUGGAAUAACACGAGGAAACUUGUGCUAAUACCGGAUAAGUCUUUACGGAGAAAGCUUUAUGCACCAUUGGAUGAGCCUGCACUUGAUUAGUUAGUUGGUAGGGUAAUGGCCUACCAAGACUUUGAUCAAUAGCUGAUUUGAGAGGAUGAUCAGCCACAUUGGGACUGAGACACGGCCCAAACUCCUACGGGAGGCAGCAGUGGGGAAUCUUGCACAAUGGAGGAAACUCUGAUGCAGCGAUGCCGCGUGAGUGAAGAAGGCCUUUGGGUUGUAAAGCUCUUUCGUCGGGGAAGAAAAUGACUGUACCCGAAUAAGAAGGUCCGGCUAACUUCGUGCCAGCAGCCGCGGUAAUACGAAGGGACCUAGCGUAGUUCGGAAUUACUGGGCUUAAAGAGUUCGUAGGUGGUUGAAAAAGUUGGUGGUGAAAUCCCAGAGCUUAACUCUGGAACUGCCAUCAAAACUUUUCAGCUAGAGUAUGAUAGAAGAAACAGAAUUUCUAGUGUAGAGGUGAAAUUCGUAGAUAUUAGAAAGAAUACCA
This 598-nucleotide ribosomal RNA is filed under the name uncultured marine bacterium. RNAcentral's name for it is "bacterial SSU rRNA". It matches the Rfam family "Bacterial small subunit ribosomal RNA", at positions 67 to 711 of the family's 1533-position model. The record is from RNAcentral.